RNAcentral lists this ribosomal RNA (253 nucleotides) under uncultured bacterium. RNAcentral describes it as "partial 16S ribosomal RNA". It matches the Rfam family "Bacterial small subunit ribosomal RNA", at positions 524 to 776 of the family's 1533-position model. The record is from RNAcentral.
UACGGGGGGAGCAAGCGUUGUUCGGAAUUACUGGGCGUAAAGGGUUCGUAGGUGGCCAACUAAGUCAGACGUGAAAUCCCUCGGCUUAACCGGGGAACUGCGUCUGAUACUGGAUGGCUUGAGUUCGGGAGAGGGGUGCGGAAUUCCAGGUGUAGCGGUGAAAUGCGUAGAUAUCUGGAGGAACACCGGUGGCGAAGGCGGCAUCCUGGACCGAUACUGACGCUGAGGAGCGAAAGCCAGGGGAGCAAACGGG